UCAGGGAGGAAUAAAUGACGUGUACCUGAAGAAUAAGCAUCGGCUAACUCCGUGCCAGCAGCCGCGGUAAGACGGAGGAUGCAAGUGUUAUCCGGAAUCACUGGGCGUAAAGCGUCUGUAGGUGGCUCGACAAGUCAACUGUUAAAUCUUGAAGCUCAACUUCAAAAUCGCAGUCGAAACUAUCGGACUAGAGUAUAGUAGAGGUAAAGGGAAUUUCCAGUGGAGCGGUGAAAUGCGUAGAGAUUGG
RNAcentral lists this ribosomal RNA (247 nucleotides) under uncultured phototrophic eukaryote. Its description in RNAcentral is "partial 16S ribosomal RNA". It matches the Rfam family "Bacterial small subunit ribosomal RNA", at positions 439 to 700 of the family's 1533-position model. The record is from RNAcentral.